AUUGAACGCUGGCGGCAUGCCUUACACAUGCAAGUCGAACGGUAACAGGUCUUCGGAUGCUGACGAGUGGCGAACGGGUGAGUAAUACAUCGGAACGUGCCUAGUAGUGGGGGAUAACUACUCGAAAGAGUGGCUAAUACCGCAUGAGAUCUACGGAUGAAAGCAGGGGAUCGCAAGACCUUGUGCUACUAGAGCGGCCGAUGGCAGAUUAGGUAGUUGGUGGGAUAAAAGCUUACCAAGCCGACGAUCUGUAGCUGGUCUGAGAGGACGAUCAGGCACACUGGGACUGAGAAACGGCCCAGACUCCUACGGGAGGCAGCAGUGGGGAAUUUUGGACAAUGGGCGCAAGGUGGUGCCAGCAAUGCCGCGUGCAGGAUGAAGGCCUUCGGGUUGUAAACUGCUUUUGUACGGAACGAAAAGCCCCGGGUUAAUAGUCUGUGGUCAUGACGGUACCGUAAGAAUAAGCACCGGCUAACUACGUGCCAGCCGCCGCGGUAA
Molecule: ribosomal RNA, 498 nt
Filed under: uncultured bacterium
Lineage: Bacteria
Description: partial 16S ribosomal RNA
Rfam family: Bacterial small subunit ribosomal RNA
Source: RNAcentral